Molecule: ribosomal RNA, 253 nt
Filed under: uncultured bacterium
Lineage: Bacteria
Description: partial 16S ribosomal RNA
Rfam family: Bacterial small subunit ribosomal RNA
Source: RNAcentral
UACGGAGGGGACUAGCGUUGUUCGGAAUUACUGGGCGUAAAGCGCACGUAGGCGGAUUGUUAAGUCAGGGGUGAAAUCCCGAGGCUCAACCUCGGAACUGCCUUUGAUACUGGCAAUCUCGAGUCCGGAAGAGGUGAGUGGAACUCCGAGUGUAGAGGUGAAAUUCGUAGAUAUUCGGAAGAACACCAGUGGCGAAGGCGGCUCACUGGUCCGGUACUGACGCUGAGGUGCGAAAGCGUGGGGAGCAAACAGG